Oxyura jamaicensis (ruddy duck) is the source of this 3364-nucleotide long non-coding RNA. RefSeq lists it as uncharacterized. Lineage: Eukaryota; Metazoa; Chordata; Aves; Anseriformes; Anatidae. The transcript is spliced from 4 exons. The record is from RefSeq and is a predicted model, not a curated record.
UUGUCGGGCCGGGCCGAGCCGAGCCGAGCCGAGCCGGGUCGAGCCGGGUCGAGCCGUGGCCGUGGCCGGAGGAUGCUGCCGUGGCCCUGGGAUGCGGCCCCGGCCGUGCCGAGCCGUGCCGAGCCCGCAGGACGUGGCCGUGCCGAGCCGUGCGAAUUGGCCUCCCGCGGAGCCAGGAGGGCUGCAGCCCCUGGAGAAGAGGAGGCUGGCUUUUUUUUUCCUGCUGAUGCUGUAGACUUCAGGGGUUGGUUGUUAUCUUUGGUUAUCUAGCUGUAUGAGUGGUGUCAAUUCUUCAUAAAGCUAGAUAACCGAAAGUAAAAAUAACCCCAGUACACGCCUGAGGAGGAUGUGGAGAAGAAAGGAAAUUCAUCAAAAGGAAGAGGAGGAAAAGGAGAGGAAAAAAAAAAAAAAAAGGAGUGGAAAAGAAAGAAGAGAAAGGAAACGAGAGGCGAAAAAAAAAAAAAAAGCAUGGGAAAAAAAAAAAAGACAACUUUUUGGGACUGGAAUUAAAACCCGAGGGAGCGGCGUGGCUUCCCCCGGCGCGAUGCUCUGCUCGUGUUGUGGCCGGCACUUCGUGGCGCGUGGCUCCCGGGGAGAGUUCGCGGGGAAUUUCCUGGUCGUCUCGUUACCACGUGAAACCAGGAGUGGGAAAAACCCACCCUGCAAACCCAGGAGAGCCUGGCCCUGAGAGCCACCAGCACCAUCUCAGGGGGACACGGCCACCAGAAGCCCUUGCCGUGGCCGAUCCCACAUGAACCUUCCUCCUCCUCCUCCUCCUCCUCCUCCUGCCUGCAGCCGCUGGCUGGAGCAGCACAGAGCACGCCUGGUGCCAGCACCGCGGCCGCGGGGACACCGGGGACUGCCCUGGGGACAGGCAAGGACACCACCGAGCAUCCCCGUGCCGGGCAGCACCGAACCUCGUGGGUGAGCCCGGGGGGGGGGGGGUGCACGGGGGGCACCUCGGGGUGCGCAGGUGGAGGUGACGGGCAGGGGACCAGGCUGGGGAGGGGACCGGUGGCCUGGGCCAGCGCGGUUGUGACCGAGGCGCAGCUGAAGCGGGUGCUUUGCCCGUGGUCAAGGCUGAAUCACAAACUGCGCAUUGUUUCCGAGGGGGUUCGGCACAUUUUGCCGCCCCCCCCCCCCCUUUCCCCUUUCCUCUCGCCUUCGCACAAAGAUGUCAUUGUGCCGGGGGCUGGGUGAUGGCAGCGUUGUUAUUUGGUCCAAAAAAAAAAAAAAAAAAAAGUAAAAAGAAAAGAAAGAAGUGGGGAGGGGGGGACCCAACAAGGUGAAGAGGUUUAAAUCAGCUUAGCCCAAAUGCCAAUUAAAAACCAAAGAGGAUUAGGCUUGUGAUCAGCAGAAUAGACAGUCAUUGUGCCCGGGCGAGGGUCCCCCCUCCAGGUCCUGCGGCGGUGGGAUGCGGCGGCGCAGGGGCCGGCCCGCAAGCCGCUGGGUUCCUGGGGUGAAGGCCACCUUUUUGCCUUUUUUUGAGCAUAUUCGAGCACUCUUGGCUUGAGUUUGGCCAAGCAAGGAGAGCGUUUGGCCUCCCUGCCAAGGGAAGGUCUUGGUGCUGGGCUGGCUCGGGUCUCAGCACGCUCUGCCCUGGCCGUGGGACCACGAGGGCAGCAUCCAGACCUCCGGGUGCUGCAUCGCCCUCGGUCCUGGGGAGAGGGGUAGGAGGCACCAGGAGCAUCGUGAGGGCUGUCCUCCAGCUCGUGGGCAGCCAAAGAAUCACAGCAUCACCGGGGCUGGAAGCAACCUUGAAGAUCAGCAAGGAUGACUGCGAACCCUCGCGUCCCAGCGCUGCGUCGCGGCCCUUGGUGCCACCAGAAGACCUCGUGCAUGUCUGCCUGGAGAAGAUGCCUCGGUGCUUUCCACGUGGCUCAGGCCUCCUUUGCUGUCCUCCUUUGCCAUCCUCCAGCUCGCUGCAGCGAGGUUUGAGCUUCUGGGAGGUGCCCAUGGGGAAACCACGGUGCUUGUGGUGUCCUGGGCUAGGGCGAGGAGGUUUGGGGUGCUGAGCCCGUGGCCCUCCCAGCUCCAAGCAGCUCUCCCGUACCACUGGAAGCCCAGGAACUGAAAGUGCUUCGUACCCAGCCCUGCUGACCCCAUCCUGUAAAGCAAACUCGGGCACCCAGGGCAGCCCUAGCGUGGCACCGGGCGCAUCGGGGCCGAGGUGCCUCCGUGCCGUGUUGGUGACACAAAGAGGGUCAGGAAGUGCCACCACGCACAGGCUUUGAGGCUUCUUUGUGCUUUCAGGGAGGAAAGGAGCCAAGCAGGGAGUCCUCUGAUGCUGGUGGGUGCAGCCUGAGCCCCUUCUCCUUUGGCCUGAUGCUGCUGGCAGCUCGGGGGGCUUGGGGAGCACCCCGCGUCCCAUGGGGAGCUCCGUGCGUCCACCCCCAGCCCUCACCAGGCAGAAGCUGGUGGGAGAAGCCGUGCAGAGGCACUGAGCCAUUGGCAAUAAAUGCGAAAUGCUCUGGCCCUUGAGCUGCAGAGAGGAAAUAGGAGAGAAAAAAAAGGCCUUUUUUUUUUUUUUCUGAAGGGAGAGCCUUCUGCAGCAGGAGCUGGUCCUGGUGCUGUGGGCGAGCCUGGGGCCGGGGCAGCGGGCUCUCAGGGAGCGUUUUGGGGCAGGGAGCGGGGCUGCUGCAGGGCGAAGGAUCCGUUCUGCAGGUGGGGACAGGGCUGGGGCUUUCUCCCCGAGCACGGCGCCCAUGGGUGCCGCAGCAUCCCUCCUCCACCGCCCUGCCCACGGCGCCCAGCGAGCGCGGGGACUUUGGGAACGGGGAGCGAGGGAGCGUCAGCAUCCGUCCCCCUUUUGUCGCCGCCGUGUAAUUUAUGAUAUGAGAGGGGGGCCAUUGUCUGGACCCAUCCUGUAUUUUUCCGAGGGCUUUGCCUCUCUUCCCAGCCCCCUGCUGUGCCGCUGCUACUGUACCGUUGCCAUGGGACGUGCUCCCCGCGCCGCGGCAAUGCGGGGCAGCGCCGGGGAGGGCAGAGCGCCGCGGCCGGACCCAUCUGGAGCCCCGCAGCCCCGCUGCCGGCAGCACCCGCGGGCGGCCCCGCUGACGUGCCGAGGGCCUGGGAAUGGGGCUUUCGGCCCCUCCAAGUUCACGGCCACCGGAGGCAUUCAGCUGCCAGGGGGGCAGCGGGAUCCGGGGCGUUUGGCUCCAUUCUCCCUUCCCCUCCGCCUUUCAGCGGGCGGCGGUGUCCUCGGCGCAUACAGAUCCCCCCGUCCCUUUCUCCUCCUGACAAGUGCGCACAUAAAUAAAUUACCCCCACCGGGCGAGUGUGGAACAAUCUGUCCCCUAAAUUCUAUUCAUCGCCAGACAGGACCCAUUAUUCCCCCGAUUAAAGCCGCUGGAGUAGCUUGCAA